Molecule: non-coding RNA, 137 nt
Organism: Triticum aestivum (bread wheat)
Lineage: Eukaryota; Viridiplantae; Streptophyta; Magnoliopsida; Poales; Poaceae
Source: Rfam
AAGGUACUCCCUCCGUCUCAAAAUUCUUGUCUUAAAUUUGUCUAGAUAUGGAUGUAUCUAACGCUAGAACGUGACUAAAUAAAUUCGUAUCUAGACAAAUCUAAAACAAGAAUUUUGAGACGGAGGGGUAGUAUCAU